Molecule: non-coding RNA, 591 nt
Organism: Cinara cedri
Lineage: Eukaryota; Metazoa; Arthropoda; Insecta; Hemiptera; Aphididae
Source: the annotation of a GenBank genome assembly
GUAAAUCCUCUUACAACUCUGGUAUAUUUCAAGAGUGCUGAUAAGGCCGAAAUUUGGAUUAAUCAUCCUAUCUAUACAUAACAAAAGAAAAGUUUCAUUCAGACCCACUUUUUUUAUUAUUUUACAUUUUAUUUUUUUUUCAACUUCAGCAAUAGACUAGCACUUAUGAUUAUAUACUAUUAUUCUACCUAUAUUACAAACAUAUUUCCACUAGAUCUAUUUCUCAGUUUCAUUGUAGUUAAGUUGUUGUCCUAAUUUUUUUUUUAGUUAUUAAUAUUAUUAUUAAUUUUACUCCAAGAGAGCUGAUAAAGCUCGAGUUUGCAACAUAGAAUACCAUAGGAAAUCAGGGAAUAGAUUCAUCGUCAUUCCCUGACGAUAAGUUUUUUUUUUUUUUUAAUUUUACUUUUAAUUAGUCUUAAAAUAUUAAUUAAUAUAAUAUUAACGAUUUACUUUUUUUUUUUUUUUAAUAAUUAUCAUAGUAGUUGUACUAAGGCCCAUCUAAUAUUAAUAUACUACCAUUAGUAUUUUCCUAACAUACACAACAUAAGAAGUAAAUCUGGCUUCCCGUUCGGUUCAUUGUAUGAUCAUUAU